UACGGAGGGUGCGAGCGUUAAUCGGAAUUACUGGGCGUAAAGGGUGCGUAGGUGGUGGUAUAAGUUAUCUGUGAAAUCCCCGGGCUCAACCUGGGAAGGUCAGAUAAUACUGUAUUACUAGAGUAUGGGAGAGGGUAGUGGAAUUUCCGGUGUAGCGGUGAAAUGCGUAGAUAUCGGAAGGAACACCGGUGGCGAAGGCGGCUACCUGGCCUAAUACUGACACUGAGGCACGAAAGCGUGGGGAGCAAACAGG
This 253-nucleotide ribosomal RNA is filed under the name uncultured bacterium. RNAcentral's name for it is "partial 16S ribosomal RNA". It matches the Rfam family "Bacterial small subunit ribosomal RNA", at positions 524 to 776 of the family's 1533-position model. The record is from RNAcentral.